This 253-nucleotide ribosomal RNA is filed under the name uncultured bacterium. RNAcentral's name for it is "partial 16S ribosomal RNA". It matches the Rfam family "Bacterial small subunit ribosomal RNA", at positions 524 to 776 of the family's 1533-position model. The record is from RNAcentral.
UACGUAGGGUGCGAGCGUUGUCCGGAAUUAUUGGGCGUAAAGAGCUCGUAGGCGGUUUGUUGCGUCGGCCGUGAAAACUCAGGGCUUAACUCUGAGCCUGCGGUCGAUACGGGCAGACUUGAGUUCGGUAGGGGAGACUGGAAUUCCUGGUGUAGCGGUGAAAUGCGCAGAUAUCGGGAGGAACACCAGUGGCGAAGGCGGCACUCUGGGCCAGUACUGACACUGAGGAGCGAAAGCGUGGGGAGCGAACAGG